This is a non-coding RNA of Phascolarctos cinereus (koala), 591 nucleotides long. The record is from RefSeq and is a predicted model, not a curated record. Lineage: Eukaryota; Metazoa; Chordata; Mammalia; Diprotodontia; Phascolarctidae.
AGGAUGGAGUAUUGGGAGACACCCACAGUUAGGAGCCAUGAUAUGGAUCUAGUUGAGAUCUAAGUUCUGGAUCAAAGAAGGAGUGGCCAUACAGGUAGGAGGAGAACCGAGAGAAAGCACUAUCAUGAAAGCCAGAGAAGAGAGAGAAUCCAGCACAGCAUAGUCACCACUGGCAAAUUCAGCAGAAGGCUCUGGGAAGAUGUGAACCCUGGGAUGGCCCUCGGAGGGGAAGCUACCACAGCUGAACCCUGCUCCCACUGAACAGAACUGGUUUUCUACAACAAAGGGACGGCUUUGUGAGAAAUGGAUGCAGGCUUUAAGGCUCAAUCAAUAAAUGAGUUCUUGCUUAGGCUGAGUCUUCAGGCAUGGACAGCACAUGCAGAUGACAUCAACAAUGUGAUGAUUUGAAUAGGGAUAAGGGAGCUUCACAAAUUGUCAGCAUUUGGGAAAUACUGAUCUUGUCUUCCCCUGAUCUCAUCUAUUCAUGCAUUAAAAAAAAAUUAUCCUACAGUUCUUGAACCAUAAUCAAACCAGUGCUGCCAUUUCUUUUGGAUAGCGUAUAUCGAUCUACUUUCCUAUGACUGCACUUGC